UGGGAUCAAAACCAAGGCGCAGUGAAUUCUGCAUAGCAUCUUCUUUGGAAUUACUCAGGAACCUGAACUUUUCACACAAAUGUAAGCAAUUCUACCAAGGAAUCCCUUUACCUAAGAGCAUCUCUCAAGGCUCCAGAGUCAGAUUCCAGAAAUACACCAAGAUAAAACCUA
Fukomys damarensis (Damara mole-rat) is the source of this 171-nucleotide unclassified non-coding RNA. NCBI's taxonomy places the organism in Eukaryota, Metazoa, Chordata, Mammalia, Rodentia, Bathyergidae. The record is from Ensembl.